CGUAGGUGGCAAGCGUUGUCCGGAUUUAUUGGGUUUAAAGGGUGCGUAGGCGGUCUUGUAAGUCAGUGGUGAAAUACGGCAGCUUAACUGUCGAGGUGCCAUUGAUACUGCAGGACUUGAGUACAGACGAGGUAGGCGGAAUUGACGGUGUAGCGGUGAAAUGCUUAGAUAUCGUCAAGAACACCGAUAGCGAAGGCAGCUUACUAGACUGUAACUGACGCUGAUGCACGAAAGUGUGGGCAUCAAACAGGAUUAGAUACCCUGGUAGUCCACACUGUAAACGAUGAUUACUCGAUGUUGGCGAUACACAGUCAGCGUCUUAGCGAAAGCGAUAAGUAAUCCACCUGGGGAGUACGCCGGCAACGGUG
RNAcentral lists this ribosomal RNA (368 nucleotides) under uncultured organism. RNAcentral's name for it is "bacterial SSU rRNA". It matches the Rfam family "Bacterial small subunit ribosomal RNA", at positions 526 to 896 of the family's 1533-position model. The record is from RNAcentral.